Apis florea (little honeybee) is the source of this 258-nucleotide long non-coding RNA. The record is from RefSeq and is a predicted model, not a curated record. Lineage: Eukaryota; Metazoa; Arthropoda; Insecta; Hymenoptera; Apidae.
GAGAGAGAGAGAGAGAAGAAAAAAAGAAAAAAAGAAGGCGGUAGAGAUAGCGGUCGUUGCUCGCCGCUUUCCGGAAGCCGCGUUAAUUCUCGCGAUUCCGUAUUUUUCCUCGUACGGUCGUUGCAUUCGCUCGAUCGGGGGUCAGCUUUGGUCGCGCAUCGAUACAUGGUGCAAUUAUACAAUCUCGUUAGCAUUCUUUCGCUCUGCUAUCGCAAUGAAAGGGAUCCAUUCAUCGCGAGAGCCACGCGCUUCUUGCGA